RNAcentral lists this transfer-messenger RNA (434 nucleotides) under candidate division CPR1 bacterium ADurb.Bin160. RNAcentral describes it as "transfer-messenger RNA, SsrA". It matches the Rfam family "transfer-messenger RNA". Rfam says of the family: Bacterial tmRNA, also known as 10Sa RNA or SsrA, is named for its dual tRNA and mRNA-like properties. Its role is to liberate the mRNA from a stalled ribosome. To accomplish this part of the tmRNA is used as a reading frame that ends in a translation stop signal. Lineage: Bacteria; candidate division CPR1. The record is from RNAcentral.
GGGGAUGUACAGGUUUCGAUAAAAGAUUCUCAUAUCUAAUAGUUGCCACUACUCGAUGAGCGUACCGAGUCUAAAAUAAUCGCUUAGCAUCUAAAAAUGCAAACUCAAAAAAUUUGUUAGCAAGAGCUAACGCUUUCGUAUUAAACUACGCCUAGUUUUUUGUUCAAUCACCAUCGCAAGAUGGAUGUAAGAACAAUGCCGGUUAUAACAUCGGCAUACGAUCGUAUCAACCGGUUCUACCAGACACCUACUAGGUAGACGGAGACACAAGUAGGUAAACAAAUGUCUGUACAAUAAAAAAUCCAUUGCCUGUUUGUUGGCUUUUGAAUUUGCCAAUUGUAAAGACAUAAAAUUCACGGCUUAAUAAACAAACUAUUGUGGUAGACGCUAUUAUUUAUGUCUUUUAGACGCGAGUUCGAUUCUCGCCAUCUCCA